RNAcentral lists this ribosomal RNA (980 nucleotides) under Chloroflexota bacterium. RNAcentral describes it as "Chloroflexi bacterium partial 23S ribosomal RNA". It matches the Rfam family "Bacterial large subunit ribosomal RNA", at positions 1 to 834 of the family's 2925-position model. The record is from RNAcentral. Lineage: Bacteria; Bacillati; Chloroflexota.
GAUCAAGCUAUAACGGGCGCUUGGCGGAUGCCUUGGCGUCAGAAACCGAAGAAGGGCGCAGCAGGCUGCGAUAAGCCACGGGGAGCCGCGAGCAGGCUUUGAUCCGUGGAUGCCCGAAUUGGGAAACCUGGCGGGGGUAAUGCCCCGUCACCCGCGGCUGAAGGCUUUCGAGCUGUAGUAGGCCCCGGGAGGGUACCGGGGGAACUGAAACAUCUAAGUACCCCGAGGAAACGAAAUCAACCGAGAUUCCCUGAGUAGUGGCGAGCGAAAGGGGAACAGCCCAAACCGCCAUUGUGUAAGGCCCACGCCGUUGCAAUCGCGGGGUUGUAGGAGCCGGUGGACACUCGUGGGAGUGUCACGCAGUUACCAAGCCGCUCACUAGCCGAAGGGGUUGGAACACCCCGCCAAAGACGGUGAGAGCCCGGUAGGCGAAAGUGAAGCGGCCUGCGACCGGAGUUCCUGAGUACCACGGGACACGUGUAACCCUGUGGGAAUCUGGGGGGCCCACCCUCCAAGGCUAAAUAUUUCUGGCGACCGAUAGUGAACAAGUACCGUGAGGGAAAGGCGAAAAGCACCCCGGAAGGGGAGUGAAAUAGAACCUGAAACCAAGCGCCUACAGACAGUCAGAGCGCUAUGCCGACUAGAGAUGCAGCUUGCGCGGCGAGGCGUGGGCGGCGGUCUUCGGACCACGGCCCGCGCAGCAAUGCGUGAGCUUGCGUCUCAACAUGACGGAAUGCGUGAUGGCGUGCCUUUUGGAGUAUGAACCGGCGAGUUACGCUACGCGGCAAGGCUAAGGGUCUUUGGUCCGGAGCCGUAGGGAAACCGAGUCUGAACAGGGCGACCAGUCGCGUGGAGUAGACCCGAAACCAGGUGAGCUACCCGUGGCCAGGAUGAAGCGUAAGUAACAUUCCGUGGAGGUCCGAACCCACCAGAGUUGCAAUUCUGGGGGAUGAGUUGCGGGUAGAGGUGAAAUGCUAAAC